GCUUACGGCCAUAUCAUGUUGAGAGCACUGGUUCUUGUCCGAUCACCGAAGUUAAGCAAUGUCAAGCCUAGUGAGUACUUAGAUGGGUGACCGCUUGGGAAACCUAGGUGCUGUAAACA
Molecule: non-coding RNA, 119 nt
Organism: Octopus bimaculoides (California two-spot octopus)
Lineage: Eukaryota; Metazoa; Mollusca; Cephalopoda; Octopoda; Octopodidae
Source: Rfam